ACAUACAAAAUGAACUGCCCAAGCGCAAAAGGACUUCCGGGGUGCACUAUUUAUCCCCAUGGCUCCCUGCAUGGGGCUAGCUUGGAAAUGCCAUUCGUGCACUGUUGACUACAUUCGUCCAUCCAUCGCUUCGUUCAUUCAACAAGCCCAUGAAGCCACAGGGACAAAUUCACGGGUAAAUAUAGCAAUGAUACAACUAAGUGCUGGACCGGCCUGAACAAGCCGUUGGAUUUAAGGAAUCUGCAGAGCACAAUGACUGGA
This 261-nucleotide long non-coding RNA is filed under the name Homo sapiens (human). RNAcentral's name for it is "HSALNT0235052". Lineage: Eukaryota; Metazoa; Chordata; Mammalia; Primates; Hominidae. The record is from RNAcentral.